Transfer RNA from Felis catus (domestic cat), 85 nucleotides. It matches the Rfam family "tRNA". Rfam says of the family: Transfer RNA (tRNA) molecules are approximately 80 nucleotides in length. Their secondary structure includes four short double-helical elements and three loops (D, anti-codon, and T loops). Lineage: Eukaryota; Metazoa; Chordata; Mammalia; Carnivora; Felidae. The record is from Rfam.
GCCUGGGUGGCUCAGUCGGUUGAGCGUCUGACUUUAGCUCAGGUCACGAUCUCGCGGUCCUCGAGUUCGAGCCCCGCGUCGGGCU